This 253-nucleotide ribosomal RNA is filed under the name uncultured bacterium. Its description in RNAcentral is "partial 16S ribosomal RNA". It matches the Rfam family "Bacterial small subunit ribosomal RNA", at positions 524 to 776 of the family's 1533-position model. The record is from RNAcentral.
UACGAAGGGGGCUAGCGUUGCUCGGAAUCACUGGGCGUAAAGGGUGCGUAGGCGGAUCUUUAAGUCAGGGGUGAAAUCCCGAGGCUCAACCUCGGAACUGCCUUUGAUACUGGGGAUCUCGAGUCCGGGAGAGGUGAGUGGAACUGCGAGUGUAGAGGUGAAAUUCGUAGAUAUUCGCAAGAACACCAGUGGCGAAGGCGGCUCACUGGCCCGGAACUGACGCUGAGGUGCGAAGGCCAGGGGAGCAAACGGG